Molecule: ribosomal RNA, 497 nt
Filed under: uncultured bacterium
Lineage: Bacteria
Description: partial 16S ribosomal RNA
Rfam family: Bacterial small subunit ribosomal RNA
Source: RNAcentral
GAUGAACGCUGGCGGCGUGCCUAAUACAUGCAAGUCGAGCGAACAGACGAGGAGCUUGCUCCUCUGACGUUAGCGGCGGACGGGUGAGUAACACGUGGAUAACCUACCUAUAAGACUGGGAUAACUUCGGGAAACCGGAGCUAAUACCGGAUAAUAUAUUGAACCGCAUGGUUCAAUAGUGAAAGACGGUUUUGCUGUCACUUAUAGAUGGAUCCGCGCCGCAUUAGCUAGUUGGUAAGGUAACGGCUUACCAAGGCGACGAUGCGUAGCCGACCUGAGAGGGUGAUCGGCCACACUGGAACUGAGACACGGUCCAGACUCCUACGGGAGGCAGCAGUAGGGAAUCUUCCGCAAUGGGCGAAAGCCUGACGGAGCAACGCCGCGUGAGUGAUGAAGGUCUUCGGAUCGUAAAACUCUGUUAUUAGGGAAGAACAAAUGUGUAAGUAACUAUGGACGUCUUGACGGUACCUAAUCAGAAAGCCACGGCUAACUACGUG